UUUGAGGCCAUGGUGCUCCUAACC
RNAcentral lists this non-coding RNA (24 nucleotides) under Rattus norvegicus (Norway rat). Lineage: Eukaryota; Metazoa; Chordata; Mammalia; Rodentia; Muridae. The record is from RNAcentral.